GAUGAACGCUGGCGGCGUGCCUAAUACAUGCAAGUCGAGCGAACAGACGAGGAGCUUGCUCCUCUAACGUUAGCGGCGGACGGGUGAGUAACACGUGGAUAACCUACCUAUAAGACUGGGAUAACUUCGGGAAACCGGAGCUAAUACCGGAUAAUAUAUUGAACCGCAUGGUUCAAUAGUGAAAGACGGUUUUGCUGUCACUUAUAGAUGGAUCCGCGCCGCAUUAGCUAGUUGGUAAGGUAACAGCUUACCAAAGCAACGAUGCGUAGCCGACCUGAGAGGGUGAUCGGCCACACUGGAACUGAGACACGGUCCAGACUCCUACGGGAGGCAGCAGUAGGGAAUCUUCCGCAAUGGGCGAAAGCCUGACGGAGCAACGCCGCGUGAGUGAUGAAGGUCUUCGGAUCGUAAAACUCUGUUAUUAGGGAAGAACAAAUGUGUAAGUAACUAUGCACGUCUUGACGGUACCUAAUCAGAAAGCCACGGCUAACUACGUG
Molecule: ribosomal RNA, 497 nt
Filed under: uncultured bacterium
Lineage: Bacteria
Description: partial 16S ribosomal RNA
Rfam family: Bacterial small subunit ribosomal RNA
Source: RNAcentral